GCAAAGUUACUGUAUACGUUCUGCACAAGUGGAAAGCUUGAGCUCAAACUGCUGUACAAGGUUCAAGUUCAGUGUUAUGAAGAUACGAAAUUAAUGAAAUUGUUCCCUGAAAUUGUGAGGUCUCUUUACGACCAAGAUGUUCUUGCUGAGGACACUAUACUUCAUUGGUUUCGUAAAGGAACCAACCCAAAAGGAAGGCAAAGCUUUGUGAAGGCAUUGGAGCCAUUUGUGAAGUGGCUGG
Long non-coding RNA from Helianthus annuus (common sunflower), 241 nucleotides. RefSeq lists it as uncharacterized. The record is from RefSeq and is a predicted model, not a curated record. NCBI's taxonomy places the organism in Eukaryota, Viridiplantae, Streptophyta, Magnoliopsida, Asterales, Asteraceae. The transcript is spliced from 2 exons.